CCUACGGGAGGCAGCAGUGAGGAAUAUUGGUCAAUGGACGAGAGUCUGAACCAGCCAAGUAGCGUGAAGGAUGACUGUCCUAUGGGUUGUAAACUUCUUUUAUAUGGGAAUAAAACAGGGUAUGCAUACCCUCUUGUAUGUACCAUAUGAAUAAGGAUCGGCUAACUCCGUGCCAGCAGCCGCGGUAAUACGGAGGAUCCGAGCGUUAUCCGGAUUUAUUGGGUUUAAAGGGAGCGUAGGUGGAUUGUUAAGUCAGUUGUGAAAGUUUGCGGCUCAACCGUAAAAUUGCAGUUGAAACUGGCAGUCUUGAGUACAGUAGAGGUGGGCGGAAUUCGUGGUGUAGCGGUGAAAGGCUUAGAUAUCACGAAGAACUCCGAUUGCGAAGGCAGCUCACUGGACUGCAACUGACACUGAUGCUCGAAAGUGUGGGUAUCAAACAGGAUUAGAUACCCCAGUAGUC
This 460-nucleotide ribosomal RNA is filed under the name uncultured bacterium. RNAcentral's name for it is "partial 16S ribosomal RNA". It matches the Rfam family "Bacterial small subunit ribosomal RNA", at positions 338 to 795 of the family's 1533-position model. The record is from RNAcentral.